Molecule: ribosomal RNA, 253 nt
Filed under: uncultured bacterium
Lineage: Bacteria
Description: partial 16S ribosomal RNA
Rfam family: Bacterial small subunit ribosomal RNA
Source: RNAcentral
GACGUAGGGCGCGAGCGUUGUCCGGAUUUAUUGGGCGUAAAGAGCUCGUAGGCGGCUUGUCGCGUCGUCCGUGAAAACUUGGGGCUCAACCCCAAGCUUGCGGUCGAUACGGGCAGGCUAGGGUUCGGUAGGGGAGACUGGAAUUCCUGGUGUAGCGGUGAAAUGCGCAGAUAUCAGGAGGAACACCGGUGGCGAAGGCGGGUCUCUGGGCCGAUACUGACGCUGAGGAGCGAAAGCGUGGGGAGCAAACAGG